Molecule: ribosomal RNA, 253 nt
Filed under: uncultured bacterium
Lineage: Bacteria
Description: partial 16S ribosomal RNA
Rfam family: Bacterial small subunit ribosomal RNA
Source: RNAcentral
UACGUAGGGUGCAAGCGUUGUCCGGAAUUAUUGGGCGUAAAGAGCUCGUAGGCGGUCUGUUGCGUCGGCUGUGAAAACCCGGGGCUCAACUCCGGGCCUGCAGCCGAUACGGGCAGACUAGAGUUCGGUAGGGGAGUCUGGAAUUCCUGGUGUAGCGGUGAAAUGCGCAGAUAUCAGGAGGAACACCGGUGGCGAAGGCGGGACUCUGGGCCGAUACUGACGCUGAGGAGCGAAAGCGUGGGGAGCGAACAGG